GAGAUAGGGGGGGGUCUGUAACGAACGCCCACCUCCAACCCCCACCACUGACUGCGUGCCCCACAUCUGAGCCAGCCGAGCUCCACCUGAGCCUCUCCCGCAGCCCCCGCCCCCCACAGCUGCGCUCGCACCGCAGGUGCGGCCAUUAAUGACCGUUAAUGACCGCUGACGACCAUUAAAGGCCGUGAAUUCUCACUGACGCCCCCCGGUAGCCUUCAGAGAUGCGCGGCGUUGCGGGAGCUCGCGGAGUGCUGCGGACCGCAGUAAAAAUUCCUGCUCGGCGGAGGGUUGGACUGCAGGCUGAUCACUCAGCAUUUCUAAAGUGAGAGCUUCAAGCAAAACGGAUACAGAGUUCUCCACCUCAGCCCAAAACCAUCUGCAGAAUGCAGUGCCAGUUCAUUUCUCCGGCAGCAUUUGGUCUUUGGUGCUGCGUGCCUUUCAGAAGGAAUGCAGCAAAAUUCACUCUGUGUGCAGAGAUGGAAGCUGCCCAUUCGUCUCUGGGAUUUAUUUACAAUGGAAGUUGGAUUCUUUCCCUUGCUAAAAUGAUCUCCUGCUGGUCUGAGGGUUUAUGUGGAUGGGAACCAACAAAAGUGCCACAAUCUACUCAGGAGGAACACAGAUAAUAAGAGGACCCACCUUAUAACAGCAACUUUAUGCACUGAUGUUCCUUAUCUACAGAUAAUUUAGGAUAGUUCUGGUGCUGUUUAGGUAGGGUUGAUUCAUGGGUAUGAUGGGACUGAUAACUACAUAGAAAAGACUCUUAAGAAGCUGCAUGUAGUGCUUAUGUCGUGAUUUUAAUUGGUGUAUCUUAAAGAGCAAGAUUGCUAUUGCUGUUAUCACUCUGCAGGUGGAAACUAAGGGCAAUUGCUGGGUCUGACUUGAUACUUUCUUUUGCAAUUAGUCAAGAAACAUCCUCUAAAACAGAACAGUAACUUGGAAGGUGUAAGGUACAGUUCUGUGUGCUUAAAUGGGGUUUGUAAUAAGGUUUUGAUUCCUUUGCCUUAUAUUGAAGAAUGUAGAAGGCACUGACAUACAAGUGAGAAUGGACACCUGAGCUGGGGGUAUUUCUCCUUGAUCUCUGAAGAGUAAUUGAGUUAAUAACUAGUUAACCACUUGCUGAUGUGUAAUUUUCUCAUUUAUACAAGUAAAUUGUAAUUAACGCAUAUGGCCUACAGAUACAUGCAAGGCGAAAAAAAAAAUCUCGCUCUUUUCCCAAGUAUGGAUGGAUUAAAAUGUCCUGUUUUCUGGGAAUUACAUUUUAAUGAACUCUAAUAUGCACAGAUCCCAUUAAUGAAGGCUGUUUUUUUUAUUUUUUUAAUCAGCUCUUCUAAUUAUGAGGAUCAGCUUGAAGCAAAAGCACUUGAAAAGCUUUGUGUAGAAGGGGUGGCAGGGAAUCCUCCCAACUGUAUUUAAAAAUAAAAGC
Molecule: non-coding RNA, 1423 nt
Organism: Meleagris gallopavo (turkey)
Lineage: Eukaryota; Metazoa; Chordata; Aves; Galliformes; Phasianidae
Source: RefSeq, a predicted model, not a curated record